GACGAACGCUGGCGGCGUGCCUAAUACAUGCAAGUUGAGCGCUGAAGGUUGGUACUUGUCCCGACUGGCUGAGCAGCGAACGGGUGAGUAACGCGUGGGGAAUCUGCCUUUGAGCGGGGGACGACAUUUGGAAACGAAUGCUAAUACCGCAUAAAAACUUUAAACACAAGUUUUAAGUUUGAAAGAUGCAAUUGCAUCACUCAAAGAUGAUCCCGCGUUGUAUUAGCUAGUUGGUGAGGUAAAGGCUCACCAAGGCGAUGAUACAUAGCCGACCUGAGAGGGUGAUCGGCCACAUUGGGACUGAGACACGGCCCAAACUCCUACGGGAGGCAGCAGUAGGGAAUCUUCGGCAAUAGACGAAAGUCUGACCGAGCAACGCCGCGUGAGUGAAGAAGGUUGUCGGAUCGUAAAACUCUGUUGGUAGAGAAGAACGUUGGUGAGAGUGGAAAGCUCAUCAAGUGACGGUAACUACCCAGAAAGGGACGGCUAACUACGUG
Molecule: ribosomal RNA, 497 nt
Filed under: uncultured bacterium
Lineage: Bacteria
Description: partial 16S ribosomal RNA
Rfam family: Bacterial small subunit ribosomal RNA
Source: RNAcentral